This 435-nucleotide ribosomal RNA is filed under the name uncultured bacterium. RNAcentral describes it as "partial 16S ribosomal RNA". It matches the Rfam family "Bacterial small subunit ribosomal RNA", at positions 29 to 507 of the family's 1533-position model. The record is from RNAcentral.
AACGAACGCUGGCGGCAGGCUUAACACAUGCAAGUCGAACGCAUGCCUUCGGGCAUGAGUGGCAGACGGGUGAGUAACGCGUGGGAACCUACCCCUUGGUACGGGAUAGCUCCGGGAAACUGGAGAUAAUACCGUAUGUGUCCUGAGGGACAAAGAUUCAUCGCCAAGGGAUGGGCCCGCGUCGGAUUAGCUAGUUGGUGGGGUAACGGCCUACCAAGGCGACGAUCCGUAGCUGGUCUAAGAGGAUGAUCAGCCACAUUGGGACUGAGACACGGCCCAAACUCCUACGGGAGGCAGCAGUGGGGAAUAUUGGACAAUGGGCGAAAGCCUGAUCCAGCCAUGCCGCGUGAGUGAUGAAGGCCCUAGGGUUGUAAAGCUCUUUCACCGGUGACGAUAAUGACGGUAACCGGAGAAGAAGCCCCGGCUAACUUCGUG